This 463-nucleotide ribosomal RNA is filed under the name uncultured bacterium. RNAcentral's name for it is "partial 16S ribosomal RNA". It matches the Rfam family "Bacterial small subunit ribosomal RNA", at positions 28 to 507 of the family's 1533-position model. The record is from RNAcentral.
GAUGAACGCUGACAGAAUGCUUAACACAUGCAAGUCUUUGGCGAAGCUGUGCUUGCACAGCCUAGCCAAGGCGGACGGGUGAGUAACGCGUAAGGAACUUGCCCUGCAGUCAGGGAUAACAGACGGAAACGACUGAUAAGACCUGGUAAAGUCAGGCGGACUCAUGUCCAGCCUGAUGAAAAGAGAUGCUGCAGGAGAGCCUUGCGUCCUAUUAGCUUGUUGGUGGGGUAACGGCCCACCAAGGCGAUGAUAGGUAGCCGGCCUGAGAGGGUGGACGGCCACAAGGGGACUGAGAUACGGCCCUUACUCCUACGGGAGGCAGCAGUGGGGAAUAUUGGACAAUGGGGGCAACCCUGAUCCAGCAAUUCUGUGUGCACGAUGAAGGUUUUCGGAUUGUAAAGUGCUUUCAGUAGGGAAGAAAAAAAUGACGGUACCUGCAGAAGAAGCGACGGCUAAAUACGUG